UACGGAAGGCAGCAGUGGGGAAUAUUGCACAAUGGGCGCAAGCCUGAUGCAGCCAUGCCGCGUGUAUGAAGAAGGGCCUUCGGGUUGUAAAGUACUUUCAGCGGGGAGGAAGGCGAUGCGGUUAAUAACCGCGUCGAUUGACGUUACCCGCAGAAGAAGCACCGGCUAACUCCGUGCCAGCAGCCGCGGUAAUACGGAGGGUGCAAGCGUUAAUCGGAAUUACUGGGCGUAAAGCGCACGCAGGCGGUCUGUUAAGUCAGAUGUGAAAUCCCCGGGCUUAACCUGGGAACUGCAUUUUGAAACUGGCAGGCUUGAGUCUUGGUAGAGGGGGUAGAAUUCCAGGUGUAGCGGUGAAAUGCGUAGAGAUCUGGAGGAAUACCGGUGGCGAAGGCGGCCCCUGGGACAAGACUGACGCUCAGGGUGCGAAAGCGUGGGGAGCAAACGAGGAUUAGGAUACC
This 458-nucleotide ribosomal RNA is filed under the name uncultured bacterium. Its description in RNAcentral is "bacterial SSU rRNA". It matches the Rfam family "Bacterial small subunit ribosomal RNA", at positions 340 to 786 of the family's 1533-position model. The record is from RNAcentral.